This 114-nucleotide transfer RNA is filed under the name Candidatus Bathyarchaeota archaeon. RNAcentral's name for it is "tRNA-Leu". It matches the Rfam family "tRNA". Rfam says of the family: Transfer RNA (tRNA) molecules are approximately 80 nucleotides in length. Their secondary structure includes four short double-helical elements and three loops (D, anti-codon, and T loops). The record is from RNAcentral. RNAcentral also lists the same sequence under 1 other name. Lineage: Archaea; Thermoproteati; Candidatus Bathyarchaeota.
GCGGGAGUUGCCAAGCCAGGUCAAAGAGACCCUUGGAGAAUGGGUCGUGGAAGCGCAGGCCUGAGGCGCCUGUCCCGUAGGGGUUCGUGGGUUCGAAUCCCACCUCCCGCACCA